GACGAACGCUGGCGGCGUGCUUAACACAUGCAAGUCGAACGGAAAAGCGCUGCUUUUGUGGGGUGCUGGAGUGGCGAACCGAUGAGUAAAAUGACAGUAACCUGACCUUGCCUUUGGGAUAACUUAAGGACACUGGGGCUAAUCCAGGACAGGAGCUCCUGCUGCUUGGUGGGGGUUGGACUGUUUCGGCGGUUGGGGCGGGACGCGCGGCGCGUGAGCUCGUUGGUGGGGUUGUGGCUGACAAAGGCUUCGACGGGUAGCCGGCCUGAGAGGGUGACCGGCCACAUUGGGACUGAGAUACGGCCCAGACGCCUACGGGAGGCAGCAGUGGGGAAUAUUGCACAAUAGGCGGAAGCCGGAUGCAGCAGCGCCGCGUGCGUUAUGACGGCCUUCGGGUUGUAAACCGCUUUCGCCUGUGACGAAGCGGGAUUGACGGUAAUGGGUAAAGAAGCACCGGCUAACUACGUG
This 468-nucleotide ribosomal RNA is filed under the name uncultured bacterium. RNAcentral's name for it is "partial 16S ribosomal RNA". It matches the Rfam family "Bacterial small subunit ribosomal RNA", at positions 28 to 507 of the family's 1533-position model. The record is from RNAcentral.